GAUGAACGCUGGCGGCGUGCCUAAUACAUGCAAGUCGAGCGAACGGACGAGAAGCUUGCUUUUCUGAUGUUAGCGGCGGACGGGUGAGUAACACGUGGAUAACCUACCUAUAAGACUGGGAUAACUUCGGGAAACCGGAGCUAAUACCGGAUAAUAUUUUGAACCGCAUGGUUCAAAAGUGAAAGACGGUCUUGCUGUCACUUAUAGAUGGAUCCGCGCUGCAUUAGCUAGUUGGUAAGGUAACGGCUUACCAAGGCAACGAUGCAUAGCCGACCUGAGAGGGGGAUCGGCCACCCUGAACCUGAGACACGGUCCAGACUCCUACGGGAGGCAGCAGUAGGGAAUCUUCCGCAAUGGGCGAAAGCCUGACGGAGCAACGCCGCGUGAGUGAUGAAGGUCUUCGGAUCGUAAAACUCUGUUAUUAGGGAAGAACAUAUGUGUAAGUAACUGUGCACAUCUUGACGGUACCUAAUCAGAAAGCCACGGCCAACUACGU
Molecule: ribosomal RNA, 496 nt
Filed under: uncultured bacterium
Lineage: Bacteria
Description: partial 16S ribosomal RNA
Rfam family: Bacterial small subunit ribosomal RNA
Source: RNAcentral